AAAAAGUAAGUAAUUCCUUUGAGUCUAUUUUGUUAUCAUUGAAGGAUAAUGAUGUGUCCCUUUGUAGGGUCUUAGCUGAAAAUAUGCAUCCCCUGCAACAUGAAGUGGUUAUAGGUAAGCAUUUAGAGUCUAGACAGUAAAGGUGUGGUCAAGAUGUUUCUGUUUACACCAUUGCACUGUUGCAGACAGACAGACUCUGUGGCCAGACCCUUAAAUAUUCUCUGUGAAGCAAGACAGAAGUGAUGUGGAUCAAUUAAAUCAACACCUCCAAGCUAGAAGCAGAAGUCUGGCUAUCCAGCACCCUCAGCUAUAUAACAGGGAAGAUAUGUCCAAUUGCAAUCUACAAUUUGAAGAAUUCUACAAAUAACGAUGUGAAAUAAAUGGUGGUGGUGGUGGUGAAGCUUGGAGAAGGUCUGCUUCAAUUGUGAACCCCUGACAGCUCCGGCAGUGGAAGUUGGGAUGGGGAUACGGUGCAAGCAAGAGGAUUCAAAUACAUCCGACACUGGGGGAAAAUGUAAGUGAAAAACUACACUGGUACAAAUGGAACGGGCUGCAUCUAGACAAGAAGGGAUCCAACGCACUAGGUGAGCGCAUAAACACAUGGAAGUGAGGAAUUGUUUAAACAAGGACAUCGCUGGACCACAGGGAGGAACUAGUAAGAGAUAGAGACUAGGCAAGUCACAAACUGCUAGAGUUAAAAGCUACAGUAGCUGCCGAAAACAACUACCGGAAAUUACCAAAACUUGGCUUACCCCAAGUGAUAGAGAGGAAUACUCAAUUAGUGGGUUUAGGUUGUUUAAGAGAGACAGACAAGACAGAAGAGGAAGAAGGGUUAUGCUGUAUAGUGGAGAGAAAAUAGAGGUAAAACCAGUAGACCGAAGUGGAAACCAAAACCUGUGCAAUUCUAUAUCGGGCAAGGUAACCAACAAGAAAACAAAAAGACUGACACAAGGAGUGUACUGCAGACCGCCAUACAUGGAUACCAAUGAUAGACCCAUUUAUAUAACAACAAUAGAGAUUCAUGCAAGGAAGGGGACACCAUAAUCGGGGCAGAUUUCAACUUCCCAGGUAUGAACUGGAAUAUCCCCACAAAUUGUGGAGUGACAAGGCUUGGUGGAAGUGGCAAAUAAUUGCUUUUUAUCACCAGGGAGAGCACUUGCCUCGACAUAGUACAGUGCUACCCUGUUAUAAUGUGACCCAUUAUAAUGCAGAAUCGGUUAUAACAUGGUAAGGUCAUGGCUCCCACAUCCCACAUAAUGCAAUUUGACUCACAAACGUUGGAUGUUAUUGUUGUUUUACAUUACCAUAUUUUAGUUGAAACUGGGAUAUAUUGUACUUAUUUAAAAGCUCCCGUGCUUGCACUGUAUUUUUUUUUUCUAAAAGUAAAAACAGUCUGUUAAUGUUACAAAACAAGUACGAAACAGUACGAUUGUGUGUGAAUUCUGUGUUAUUUAUUUAUAGUUUACAUUUAUUAUAAAAAAAAUACAAUUUGAAUAAGAGUGGUGUAAACUUUAAACUGGUGGAAACGCAGUUUCUAUUAUACUGUAUAUAUUGUAACGACCCAGGAUUUAUACUGUU
Long non-coding RNA from Acipenser ruthenus (sterlet), 1578 nucleotides. RefSeq lists it as uncharacterized. NCBI's taxonomy places the organism in Eukaryota, Metazoa, Chordata, Actinopteri, Acipenseriformes, Acipenseridae. The transcript has 3 exons. The record is from RefSeq and is a predicted model, not a curated record.